This 447-nucleotide ribosomal RNA is filed under the name uncultured bacterium. RNAcentral's name for it is "bacterial SSU rRNA". It matches the Rfam family "Bacterial small subunit ribosomal RNA", at positions 355 to 825 of the family's 1533-position model. The record is from RNAcentral.
UGGGGAAUUUUGGACAAUGGGCGCAAGCCUGAUCCAGCCAUGCCGCGUGAAGGAUGAAGUAUUUCGGUAUGUAAACUUCGAAAGAAUAGGAAGAAUAAAUGACGGUACUAUUUAUAAGGUCCGGCUAACUACGUGCCAGCAGCCGCGGUAAUACGUAGGGACCAAGCGUUGUUCGGAUUUACUGGGCGUAAAGGGCGCGUAGGCGGCAAUUCAAGUCAUCUGUGAAAUCUCCGGGCUUAACUCGGAACGGUCAGAUGAUACUGCUUUGCUAGAGUGCAGAAGGGGCAAUCGGAAUUCUUGGUGUAGCGGUGAAAUGCGUAGAUAUCAAGAGGAACACCUGAGGUGAAGACGGGUUGCUGGGCUGACACUGACGCUGAGGCGCGAAAGCCAGGGGAGCAAACGGGAUUAGAUACCCGGGUAGUCCCUGAGCGGGCUGGCAAGGCGCAU